GGAGAUUCCUGUUUUAGGUUAUUUGGAGAGCUUGUUUUAUGGGUGAAAUCACUGAAAUGAUUUGUAUAUAGAUUUAAUGGAGAUGGUGAACUCUGGCGUAACCAGGUCAAAAUGGAGCUCAAAAUAAUGGUUUAUGUAAAGUUUAAUACAGAUAAUCAGUAUUAAUCGAGAGAUUUAAGCUAGAAGUGCUGUGGUUCUUUUAUGUCCUGUAAGCAGAGAGAAAAUGGAGGUAAGGGAGAGAGAAGCAUGGGAGAAUGAAGAAAGAGAUAAAUGUGACUAAUUGUAAACGCCGUCACCACGCUGCCGCAAGCAGACCGAGUUCGCAUCGCCUGUUCACCCUCGCCGGCGCCUGGUAACUCUCAAAAUAGACCAUGAGAGUUGCUAGCAGCGCUAUGCCACUACUUGUAUUCUCUCCAACUACUUUGGACACUGACAAAACCCUCACAUUUCGAAACCAAAUCAGAACCAGAAACUUAGGGUUUUUGCAGCGUUUGCAAAACUACAAUGACGGAACCUGGAGUGGUAGUUCAAUUGAAGGAGAAGAUUGAGUUAACGGACGCCAAGAAUAAGAUAUUUGAUAGCCUUCUCAACACUCUUCACCACUUCAAUCUUAAAACUGAGCUUUGUGUAGCCGUUGGCUGGGUCCGCGAUACAAGCUUCUGGGGAUAGAAUGUUAUGACAUUGAUAUUGCGCUAGACAACAUGUUGGGAAGUGAAUUUGCUAAUAAGGUGGCUGAGUAUGUAUCGUCCACGGGUAAAAAGCCACCUUCAGGCUGAGGGGUUAUUCCAAGAUACUGUUGUCAACUACAUUUUCAGGGAGUCUCUCUAGCG
Molecule: long non-coding RNA, 830 nt
Organism: Pistacia vera
Lineage: Eukaryota; Viridiplantae; Streptophyta; Magnoliopsida; Sapindales; Anacardiaceae
Exons: 4
Source: RefSeq, a predicted model, not a curated record